RNAcentral lists this ribosomal RNA (117 nucleotides) under Danio rerio (zebrafish). Lineage: Eukaryota; Metazoa; Chordata; Actinopteri; Cypriniformes; Danionidae. The record is from RNAcentral.
UUAGACUAAGCUAGCUGUCUGCAACUCUCACAUUGUCGCUCACUGAAGCUAAGCAGGGCUGCGCCUGGUCAGUACCUGUAUGGGAGACCACAUGGAAAAACUAAGUUGUUGCCGGAA